AGUACUCCUACGGGGAGGCAGCAGUGGGGGAAUAUUGCACAAUGGGCGCAAGCCUGAUGCAGCCAUGCCGCGUGUAUGAAGAAGGACCUUCGGGUUGUAAAGUACUUUCAGCAGUGAGGAAGGUUCAUACGUUAAUAGCGUAUGGAUUUGACGUUAGCUGCAGAAGAAGCACCGGCUAACUCCGUGCCAGCAGCCGCGGUAAUACGGAGGGUGCGAGCGUUAAUCGGAAUUACUGGGCGUAAAGCGCAUGCAGGUGGUUUGUUAAGUCAGAUGUGAAAGACCCGGGGCUCAACCUCGGAAUAGCAUUUGAAACUGGCAGACUAGAGUACUGUAGAGGGGGGUAGGAAUUUCAGGUGUAGCGGUGAAAUGCGUAGAGAUCUGAAGGAAUACCGGUGGCGAAGGCGGCCCCCUGGACAGAUACUGACACUCAGAUGCGAAAGCGUGGGGAGCAAACAGGAUUAGAUACCCUGGUAG
This 474-nucleotide ribosomal RNA is filed under the name uncultured bacterium. RNAcentral describes it as "bacterial SSU rRNA". It matches the Rfam family "Bacterial small subunit ribosomal RNA", at positions 332 to 793 of the family's 1533-position model. The record is from RNAcentral.